This 1029-nucleotide ribosomal RNA is filed under the name Triticum aestivum (bread wheat). Its description in RNAcentral is "partial small subunit ribosomal RNA". Lineage: Eukaryota; Viridiplantae; Streptophyta; Magnoliopsida; Poales; Poaceae. The record is from RNAcentral.
AUGUUAGCCAAACAAUGCUGGAGACUCAUUGAGAAUUAUGACUCACUUUGUGCAAAAGUUUUAAGGGCCAGAUAUUAUCCUUCUGGGGAUAUUUUGAACUAUGAAUUGAAGAAGGGCUCAUCCUUUGUGUGGCAAAGUAUUUGGGCAGGAAUACAAACGUUCAAAAAAGGGUGCAUUUGGAGAGUUGGAGAUGGUGCAAAGAUAGAUAUAUGGAGUGACUGCUGGAUUCCUAGUAGUGCAUCGCGGAAAAUUGUUACUGUCCAUGGGAACCAACUACUCACUAAGGUCAGUGACCUCAUCGACCCCUCCUCAGGAGAGUGGGAUGAAUAGCUAAUAAGGGACACUUUCUGGCCUAUAGAUGCUGACCGGAUAUUGCAAAUUCCAUUUUUUUGGCAACAUACAGAGGAUUAUAUAGCAUGGCACUUCAAUAAGAACGGCACUUUCUCGAUUCGCUCAGCGUAUUACAAACAGUGGGAAGAGACUUAUGCCCAGGAAGAUUUGAUGGGGAACUACCGAUCUGGUUCUGGACCACAUCUAGUAUGAAAGAAGGUUUGGAAGCUCAAACUGCCAGGAAAGAUUAAGAUCUUCAUUUGGAGGUGCUUACACAAUGUGCUACCAUGCUUCAGCGUUCUAACUAAUCGGCAUGUUGGUACUAACUCUCAAUGCCCUAUCUGCAAGAUGGACGCGGAAGAUAUACGCCAUGUACUGUUCUCAUGCCCACGUGCUCUAGCUGUUUGGGAAGCCUUGGGCGUUGGCAAUAUUAUCAGGGACGCCAUGUGCAUAGACCGCUCUAGAGCAAUAGAUUUUCUCUUAUGUGAUGAAGCUCAUCAGCGUAUAUACUCAGACCCAAUAGAAUUGCCGGAGAUUAUUGCUGGAACUAGCUGGUACAUCUGGUGGCAGCGGAGACAAUUUGUGCGCGGAGAAACUGUCCACUCGCCAGAACAAACUGCGAUGUCGAUCCGGGCUCUAAGCCUAAAUUUUGUUCGGGCAGCAGGGAAACCGAAGGAGAGACCUCGACUGAACAAGUAG